GCAUCGAUGAAGAACGCAGCGAAAUGCGAUAAGUAGCGUGAAUUGCAGAAUUCAGUGAAUCAUCGAAUCUUUGAACGCACAUUGCGCCCCUUGGUAUUCCAUGGGGCAUGCCUGUUCGAGCGUCAUUUGUACCUUCAAGCUCUGCUUGGUGUUGGGUGUUUGCCUCGCCUCUGCGUGUAGACUCGCCUCAAAACAAUUGGCAGCCGGCGUAUUGAUUUCGGAGCGCAGUACAUCUCGCGCUUUGCACUCAUAACGACGACGAUCCAAAAGUACAUUUUUACACUCUUGACCUCGGAUCAGGUAGGGAUACCCGCUGAACUUAAGCAUAUCAAUAAGCGGAGGAA
RNAcentral lists this ribosomal RNA (344 nucleotides) under uncultured fungus. RNAcentral describes it as "eukaryotic LSU rRNA". The stretch from base 1 to 125 matches the Rfam family "5.8S ribosomal RNA", at positions 30 to 154 of the family's 154-position model. The record is from RNAcentral. Lineage: Eukaryota; Fungi.